This is a long non-coding RNA of Sapajus apella (tufted capuchin), 3622 nucleotides long. RefSeq lists it as uncharacterized. The transcript has 3 exons. Lineage: Eukaryota; Metazoa; Chordata; Mammalia; Primates; Cebidae. The record is from RefSeq and is a predicted model, not a curated record.
CAAAAAGGCCAGCACAUUCCCUGUCUAAAAGUGGCAGCGGCUACUCAGCUCAGCCAAGUACAGUAGUAUCCCUUUAUCUACUAAGAUAUGUUCCAAGAUACUUCCCUUCCAGUGGAUGCCUGAAACCAUGGAUAAUACUGAACUCUCUACAUACUGUGGCUUUUUUCCAUCUAAUAACUAAGACAGCUACUAAGUGACCAAUGGGCAGGUUGCAUCUAUGCUGAACAAAGGGGUGAUUCACAUCCCAGGCAACACGGAGUGGGACUCAGAGAUUUCAUUACCCUACUCAGAACAGUGUGCAAUUUAAACUGUAUUGUUUAUUUCUGGCAUUUUCCACUUAAUAUUUUCAGACUAUGGUUGACCACAGGUAGUUCAAACUAAAGAAAGUAAAACUGUGGGUAAGGGGGUACUACUGUUUUACCGCUUGGGAAUGUGGCCCAUUGCUUUCAGAUAAUCAGUAAUUGCAAAAGUUGAAAAUACGAAGUUCUAUGGGUAGUUUUCUAAUUUUCAAAUGUCAGUAGCUAAUUUACAAUUAUUUAAAAUACUAUGUGGGAUAAUUUGUGAGCUCUGUCUUAAUGUUUGUAAGACUAAUUGCCACUGGAAAUGGAAUUCUGCCUGGCUGUGACCCCUCAGUGAUAGAAAUAGAAUCCAUAAGUGGUAGUUACAGAGAAAUAGGCCUUGGUUCAAAAUAAGAACACAUUUCCUAAUAACAUUACUCAAAGGCAGAGUGUUCUGCUGUAGGGAAUGAGUUGCUCAUUUCUAUAUAUGUUUAAGGAUCAGUUGGUUGACAUCUUUGCCAGAACUGUGUAAAGGAAGACCAGACAUCAGAUAGAUGGGAUGUUAGCCUUCACAUCUCCCUUCCAAACCUGAGCUUCUUUGAAUCAAAAGCACUACUUCUUCACGAAGGUUUUAAUUCAAGGCAGACUGGGCAUUCAGAAUGAGCCUUUUGGUUUUACUUUCUGUGUCAUACAUAGAACACAUGUGUGCCAUUUCUGGUCUGUUAAUAUAGGAUGGGAUUGGGAUGACUUUUCCAAGGGAAAAUGUUUCAAAGGCUGAUUAUUACUAUUUUAGACUUCCUAUCUCUUGGGUUUGCCUUGCCCUGAGUUGGCCUGUGCUUCUUCAAAUACACUCAGCAAGGUUCAACUUGGCUUGGCUGUGUCUCUGCUGGUAUUAUUUUCUAUGGAAAUAAAUGCACACAGACUCUGAUAAUUUAUACACAUUCAGAUGUAACCAUAAGGAGAAACCAACACUUUAUAUUUUUAAAUUGCCAUAAAUCUGGGAUCUGGAAAUGAACAAUUUUUCUUCCUCUGAAUACAUCUAUUUCCCAAUCCCAAUAUUGGUACUUUCUGUACCUUCAAAAACAUUGACUAUAUCAAUAUAAAACUGAAAAUGUGAACAUUUAAGCAAAAACAAUUUGGCCAAUUAAACCAGAUACAACAAUUAAUUCAAUGACAAAAAUAAGUCAAACAAGUCAGCUUUGGCACAUGGAGGCAUUCAAGACACCAGCAUCUGUUUUAUUUUUGACAGCCGCGUCUGGUCCUUAUAUAUUCAUCUAACACUUUCAGUAGAUCUUGACUUCAGUAUGAAACUCGCUCACAUUUUCAAAUCUACAAAGGACAGAUUUUAACCAUUAUUCUGAAAAUGCUUUCCUUUCCACGAGAAAAUGAAGAGGAAAAAAGACUGCUUUAUAUUAAAAUGCUUAUUUCAGCCUUGAAGAUAAGCCCUAGCCAUUCUCAGAUGCUGAAAUACUUUGGUUUGGAAGAUCUUUACUACAUGGUUCUUGGCCUGGAGCCUCAUCAUGCUAGAGAAUCCACUCGAAUGUUCUGUUUUUCAAUCAUUUGUUUGCAAAGUCUAAUCUGGAAGGGGAACUAAUAUUAAGAAGCUUUUAUGUGCAAGGGCUGUGCCAGGCGUUUAACAUAUACUGUCUUGUUUAACCCUCACAACGACCUGGUGGGGUGGGCAUUUCUAUCCACAUGAGAAAGUAGGCUCCCAAGCUUCAGAAUCGAAUCAGAGCUUGGGACUCAGGGCAACCAGCUCCAAGAUCACACAGGUUUUUGUUUGUUUGUUUGUUUGUUUCAGCAUUAAGACAAAUGAUGGGGGAAAGGAGAAAAGAAAUCUUUUGUAACUUAGGUAAUCCAAAAUAAAAUUUCAGGAACCAUUUAUGAAACUAUCUCUUUGAAUCAUAAUUCCAGUUACACACUAAAUAUAACCUUAGGGAGACUGAGUAAAAACAUUUAUUGAUUAGCCUUACAGUAAAUUUGUGAGAUUUAAAUUUUCUAAAUCUUAUUGCAGAUGGUACUAGCUACUGACUUUGACUUUCGGCUGUUAGACUGAUCAUUAACAAAUAACUCCUGAACCCACAUCAACUUUGAGUGAACUUUGGUAUUUUUCUUUGCUCUGAUUUGUUACCAUCUACGUCCGCCUUCUUUGGUAACCCCGAUGAUCGUUCAAAGUAGGACUUUGAGCAGAUAUCCUAAGGCUGAUAUCCCAAUUCUGCGUCUGUUUUUUUCCUUGAGGUUUAAACAGUAUGUUGAAUCAACAUUCUAUCAAGAGCCUUUUCAGUGCUUUCUACCAAGAAGUUCUUAGUGAGAGCUGCAUUCAGUUCAACUUUCUUUCUCGGUUCCUUUCCCUACCGUGGUUUAGUGUGUUGAAAAAUCCUUCCGCAUCAGCAUUUAUGCAACAUAUAAUUUUUUUACUCUCAUCCAACAGGCACAUUUGGAUUUACUAUUUCACUUGAACAGUUGGUGUUUACUGGCAGCAACAAGAACAAAAUUUAUAGCAGCAAAUGGAAGCUGAACUCGCAUGCUGGCUUUGCACUGAAGAACUUUGUGUUUGCCAUUUCCUAAUUGUGAAAACAGUAUGUCCAAGAUUUUGCAGUCAUCAGCAUUCUGAUGUAACGACUUCCAUCUGGUCAAAGGAAGGAAUUCAGAACCGCUAUCUCCUUUAGAAUUCUACUCCAAUGCAAAGGCAUAUCUACAGCUCUUCAAAUAAGCAAUGUGAUGUUAGAAAAAGUGCAGAAGCUCCUUGAGCACUUUUCAGGGCUAACCAGCUGCUGAGGAGGAACCUCCAGGAAGGAGAGAAGCACUCUGAUCCAGACAGGGAUUUACACCUAAAGUACCAACUCCACCAUGUCUUCAGAACAGCUCUUCUAGACCUUGCAUCCAAUUGUGGAGUCAUUAAUUAUCAACGAACAAAAUCUCCGGGUGCCCGAAGGACCUAGCCUAUGCAGAAACCUGUGAACUGCUGAUGAGAACGCAGUGAGUCAAAAGAAUAAUGGAAUUAAAUAAGUUCGGAGUCUUUAAGUGUUUCUUAAAACUCUUAUCUAUAAACCCCUAAUCUUACUAAUUUCCGGCACACUUGUUAUUCAUAAACAUUUGAUCGUCGUUCGUAGAAGAUCUAACAAAUUAACACAAUGGAUUGUUUUGGUGAUGAAGGGACAGUAUACUAUUCCAUUUAGCUUGUUCAGGGCACUUGAGUCAAAUCCCUUGAGUCCUCACUGCAUCAGACAGUCCAUGAAAUCCUGAUGGCGAUAUCAUAAUUAUCCAUAAAGUUAGAGUAUUCACUAAUUAAGAAUGCUGAAGAAUGAAGUAUAUUAAAUGGGUCAUCCUGCAUUUUUUUUUUU